AACGAACGCUGGCGGCAUGCCUAACACAUGCAAGUCGAACGAGACCUUCGGGUCUAGUGGCGCACGGGUGCGUAACGCGUGGGAACCUGCCCUUAGGUUCGGAAUAACUCCCCGAAAGGGGUGCUAAUACCGGAUAAUGUCUUCGGACCAAAGAUUUAUCGCCUUUGGAUGGGCCCGCGUUGGAUUAGCUAGUUGGUAGGGUAAAAGCCUACCAAGGCGACGAUCCAUAGCUGGUCUGAGAGGAUGAUCAGCCACACUGGGACUGAGACACGGCCCAGACUCCUACGGGAGGCAGCAGUGGGGAAUAUUGGACCAUGGGCGAAAGCCUGAUCCAGCAAUGCCGCGUGAGUGAUGAAGGCAUUAGGGUUGUAAAGCUCUUUUAACCGGGAUGAUAAUGACAGUACCGGGAGAAUAAGCUCCGGCUAACUCCGUG
This 433-nucleotide ribosomal RNA is filed under the name uncultured bacterium. RNAcentral describes it as "partial 16S ribosomal RNA". It matches the Rfam family "Bacterial small subunit ribosomal RNA", at positions 29 to 507 of the family's 1533-position model. The record is from RNAcentral.